This is a small nuclear RNA of Hyaena hyaena (striped hyena), 108 nucleotides long. Lineage: Eukaryota; Metazoa; Chordata; Mammalia; Carnivora; Hyaenidae. The record is from RefSeq and is a predicted model, not a curated record.
AUGUUUGCUUCAUCAGUAUAUGCACUAAAAAUUAGAACAAUACAGGAAAGAGUAGCACAGGCCUUAUGCAAGAAUGACUCACAAAUUCAUGAAGUGUUCCAUAUUUUU